UUGAACGCUGGCGGCAGGCCUAACACCUGCAAGUCGAGCGGAUGAAGGGAGCUUGCUCCUGGAUUCAGCGGCGGACGGGUGAGUAAUGCCUAGGAAUCUGCCUGGUAGUGGGGGAUAACGUCCGGAAACGGGCGCUAAUACCGCAUACGUCCUGAGGGAGAAAGUGGGGGAUCUUCGGACCUCACGCUAUCAGAUGAGCCUAGAUCGGAUUAGCUAGUUGGUGGGGUAAAGGCCUACCAAGGCGACGAUCCGUAACUGGUCUGAGAGGAUGAUCAGUCACACUGGAACUGAGACACGGUCCAGACUCCUACGGGAGGCAGCAGUGGGGAAUAUUGGACAAUGGGCGAAAGCCUGAUCCAGCCAUGCCGCGUGUGUGAAGAAGGUCUUCGGAUUGUAAAGCACUUUAAGUUGGGAGGAAGGGCAGUAAGUUAAUACCUUGCUGUUUUGACGUUACCAACAGAAUAAGCACCGGCUAACUUCGUG
Molecule: ribosomal RNA, 483 nt
Filed under: uncultured bacterium
Lineage: Bacteria
Description: partial 16S ribosomal RNA
Rfam family: Bacterial small subunit ribosomal RNA
Source: RNAcentral